AGAGGCGGCAAGGGAGGCUUACAGAGGUAAAUGGAGGGAUACAGUUCCAAGCCUCCAAUAUGCCAUCUCCUAAAUUCCAAAUGCUCAGCAGGAGGUCGGCUAACACUUCGUUGAAAGCCACUGACCCGGUCUACAAAUGUCAGCAGCUAUCACAGUGGACCAAGCAGGCCCACAAGGGACCACCUCUGCACACACCUGAGUGUGCACCUGCUGGCUGGAACCUGGCUUGUCCUCGCCUACACACGCAGCCUGGCACACCUGCAUGGCAGAGUCCCACCAAGCUGUAGGUCCCACUUAGGGGAGACUGGGACCAUGGAAGUUGGUGUGCUCCAUUCCUAGUGUGGAAAACAAGAUAUCCCCAGUGUUUCAUCUCCUCCUCUGCGCAUGAAGGUGGGUAAACAUCCGCGGAGUGGGACGAGCUGGAAAGCGGGUGGCUCUUGGCGUCAGGCAGGAGUUCUUCCAGUGUUGACCCCCCAACCCCCGUCCAUGUACAAGAACUGCAGUCUUGCCACCAACCAACCCAUUCGCCAACCCUCCCUCGCAGGCAUUUCGCCCGUCCCUUCUCUGAUCUACAAGGAGCAGGGAAACCGAGGCCCAAAGUAGUUGACUGUAAGCGCGCGAGGGAAGCUCGCCAGGCUCUUGUGUGCGCACCAGGCUGGGAUGUGGCGAGCGGAAACCACAGUCCCGGGUCUCCUGGGGCGGCGGAAAGCAAAGCCAAGCGCGGCGCAGGCACCUCCGGGCCCUGAAAGAAACCAAAGUUGGUCAAGCGGGCAAAGGAAAAAGAAAAUAAAAACACGGGUUGGGGCCUUUGGAAAGCAGGGCAUUCUCCGAAUCAUCCGCUGGAGUCGCUACUUGAACCUCAAGGAUGUGGCGUGGGAUGGGGCAGUGGGUCUACAGAGCAGGGGAUGGUGCGGAGACAGAUUAGGUUUGCUUCUGCAGCUCGGAUCUUGUUGCGGGUAGAUAGAUGUCUAUGCAGAUCCAAGCCGCUAGGCGUGGGGCAGCGGCGCGGAUAACUGGAAGAAAAAGGGAGAUUCUGACCUCAAUUUUCAAUUCCGAAUUCCACGUGCAUUCGAGGAAAAAGAGACGGAAAGACUGGGGCGGAGGGAGGGAGAAAGAGACAAAAGCAGAGACUGAGAUAGAGACAGACGCCAGAGAAAUACUAGGAGGAUCGAGAUUCGCGCCUUAGCGCCAAGCUGAAAGGAGCGAGGCGAUUCCAGCGACCCUC
This 1225-nucleotide long non-coding RNA is filed under the name Homo sapiens (human). RNAcentral describes it as "HSALNT0370651". Lineage: Eukaryota; Metazoa; Chordata; Mammalia; Primates; Hominidae. The record is from RNAcentral.